This 890-nucleotide ribosomal RNA is filed under the name uncultured bacterium. RNAcentral describes it as "bacterial SSU rRNA". It matches the Rfam family "Bacterial small subunit ribosomal RNA", at positions 8 to 853 of the family's 1533-position model. The record is from RNAcentral.
AGAGUUUGAUCCUGGCUCAGGAUGAACGCCGGCGGUGUGCCUAAUACAUGCAAGUCGAACGCGUUGGCCCAACUGAUUGAACGUGCUUGCACGGACUUGACGUUGGUUUACCAGCGAGUGGCGGACGGGUGAGUAACACGUAGGUAACCUGCCCCAAAGCGGGGGAUAACAUUUGGAAACAGAUGCUAAUACCGCAUAACAAUUUGAAUCGCAUGAUUCAAAUUUAAAAGAUGGCUUCGGCUAUCACUUUGGGAUGGACCUGCGGCGCAUUAGCUUGUUGGUAGGGUAACGGCCUACCAAGGCUGUGAUGCGUAGCCGAGUUGAGAGACUGAUCGGCCACAAUGGAACUGAGACACGGUCCAUACUCCUACGGGAGGCAGCAGUAGGGAAUCUUCCACAAUGGGCGCAAGCCUGAUGGAGCAACACCGCGUGAGUGAAGAAGGGUUUCGGCUCGUAAAGCUCUGUUGUUAGAGAAGAACGUGCGUGAGAGCAACUGUUCACGCAGUGACGGUAUCUAACCAGAAAGUCACGGCUAACUACGUGCCAGUAGCCGCGGUAAUACGUAGGUGGCAAGCGUUAUCCGGAUUUAUUGGGCGUAAAGCGAGCGCAGGCGGUUUGAUAAGUCUGAUGUGAAAGCCUUUGGCUUAACCAAAGAAGUGCAUCGGAAACUGUCAGACUUGAGUGCAGAAGAGGACAGUGGAACUCCAUGUGUAGCGGUGGAAUGCGUAGAUAUAUGGAAGAACACCAGUGGCGAAGGCGGCUGUCUGGUCUGCAACUGACGCUGAGGCUCGAAAGCAUGGGUAGCGAACAGGAUUAGAUACCCUGGUAGUCCAUGCCGUAAACGAUGAGUGCUAGGUGUUGGAGGGUUUCCGCCCUUCAGCGCCGCAGCU